AACACGGUGACCGCCCCACUUGCCCCACCUAGUCCACCAGCUCCACCUGCUCAGUGAAAGGUUUUCAAGAAGCACCAAGCACCAGCACCAAGAGACGCAGUGGCAAGCCUUCACCACAACACUCCACACUGCCUAAUCUUCGUCUAUUAAAGGCUCAGACGUGUGGAUGGAAGGAGGAGGAGGAAGAAGAAGGAGUAACAAUGGAGAAGGAUGA
Portunus trituberculatus (swimming crab) is the source of this 214-nucleotide long non-coding RNA. RefSeq lists it as uncharacterized. The transcript is spliced from 3 exons. The record is from RefSeq and is a predicted model, not a curated record. Lineage: Eukaryota; Metazoa; Arthropoda; Malacostraca; Decapoda; Portunidae.